GCUUAUUCUCAGGGCGGGGCGAAAUUCCCCACCGGCGGUAAAUCAGCCUACGCUGAAAGCCCGCGAGCGCUUCUGGUGAAAACCGGAAGGUCAGCAGAUCCGGUGUAAUUCCGGGGCCGACGGUUAGAGUCCGGAUGGGAGAGAGUAACG
Molecule: non-coding RNA, 150 nt
Organism: Kluyvera intermedia
Lineage: Bacteria; Pseudomonadati; Pseudomonadota; Gammaproteobacteria; Enterobacterales; Enterobacteriaceae
Source: Rfam